This 1105-nucleotide ribosomal RNA is filed under the name Bacillus sp. (in: firmicutes). RNAcentral describes it as "bacterial SSU rRNA". It matches the Rfam family "Bacterial small subunit ribosomal RNA", at positions 61 to 1149 of the family's 1533-position model. The record is from RNAcentral. Lineage: Bacteria; Bacillati; Bacillota; Bacilli; Caryophanales; Bacillaceae.
GUACAAGGUAACCAGAAGCUUGCUUCUAUGACGUUAGCGGCGGACGGGUGAGUAACACGUGGGCAACCUGCCUGUAAGACUGGGAUAACUUCCGGAAACCGAAGCUAAUACCGGAUAGGAUCUUCUCCUUCAUGGGAGAUGAUUGAAAGAUGGUUUCGGCUAUCACUUACAGAUGGGCCCGCGGUGCAUUAGCUAGUUGGUGAGGUAACGGCUCACCAAGGCAACGAUGCAUAGCCGACCUGAGAGGGUGAUCGGCCACACUGGGACUGAGACACGGCCCAGACUCCUACGGGAGGCAGCAGUAGGGAAUCUUCCGCAAUGGACGAAAGUCUGACGGAGCAACGCCGCGUGAGUGAUGAAGGCUUUCGGGUCGUAAAACUCUGUUGUUAGGGAAGAACAAGUACGAGAGUAACUGCUCGUACCUUGACGGUACCUAACCAGAAAGCCACGGCUAACUACGUGCCAGCAGCCGCGGUAAUACGUAGGUGGCAAGCGUUAUCCGGAAUUAUUGGGCGUAAAGCGCGCGCAGGCGGUUUCUUAAGUCUGAUGUGAAAGCCCACGGCUCAACCGUGGAGGGUCAUUGGAAACUGGGGAACUUGAGUGCAGAAGAGAAAAGCGGAAUUCCACGUGUAGCGGUGAAAUGCGUAGAGAUGUGGAGGAACACCAGUGGCGAAGGCGGCUUUUUGGUCUGUAACUGACGCUGAGGCGCGAAAGCGUGGGGAGCAAACAGGAUUAGAUACCCUGGUAGUCCACGCCGUACACGAUGAGUGCUAAGUGUUAGAGGGUUUCCGCCCUUUAGUGCUGCAGCUAACGCAUUAAGCACUCCGCCUGGGGAGUACGGUCGCAAGACUGAAACUCAAAGGAAUUGACGGGGGCCCGCACAAGCGGUGGAUCAUGUGGUUUAAUUCGAAGCAACGCGAAGAACCUUACCAGGUCUUGACAUCCUCUGACAACUCUAGAGAUACAUCGUUCCCCUUCGGGGGACAGAAUGACAGGUGGUGCAUGGUUGUCGUCAGCUCGUGUCGGGAGAUGUUGGGUUAAGUCCCGCAACGAGCGCAACCCUUGAUCUUAGUUGCCAGCAUUUAGUUGGGCACUCUAAGGUGAC